This 254-nucleotide long non-coding RNA is filed under the name Gallus gallus (chicken). Lineage: Eukaryota; Metazoa; Chordata; Aves; Galliformes; Phasianidae. The record is from RNAcentral.
AAGAAACAAGGAUUAGACCAUGAGAGCAACAGGUGCUUUUUGCAAUAUGAAGAGAAGAAUUCAGUUUGUUAGACUGCAUUUCAACACAAAGUUAAUGUGAGAUAGAAGAACUCUCCUGUGCAUAUGUAUGACUUGUUUGUUCAUUUGGAACUUCAGUGUGCCAUUUAACCCUUAAUGGGAUCUAAACUGACCGACUAAAUAAAUAAAUAAAUAAAAUUACUGCAAGGAUUUAAACUGUAACAGGAAAAAAUGCC